AACGAACGCUGGCGGCAGGCUUAACACAUGCAAGUCGAGCGCCCCGCAAGGGGAGCGGCAGCCGGGUGAGUAACGCGUGGGAACGUACCUUUUGGUUCGGAACAACUCCGGGAAACUGGAGCUAAUACCGGAUAAGCCCUAACGGGGAAAGAUUUAUCGCCGAAAGAUCGGCCCGCGUCUGAUUAGCUAGUUGGUGAGGUAACGGCUCACCAAGGCGACGAUCAGUAGCUGGUCUGAGAGGAUGAUCAGCCACACUGGGACUGAGACACGGCCCAGACUCCUACGGGAGGCAGCAGUGGGGAAUAUUGGACAAUGGGCGCAAGCCUGAUCCAGCCAUGCCGCGUGAGUGAUGAAGGCCUUAGGGUUGUAAAGCUCUUUUGUCCGGGAAGAUAAUGACUGGACCGGAAGAAUAAGCCCCGGCUAACUUCG
RNAcentral lists this ribosomal RNA (429 nucleotides) under uncultured bacterium. RNAcentral's name for it is "partial 16S ribosomal RNA". It matches the Rfam family "Bacterial small subunit ribosomal RNA", at positions 29 to 505 of the family's 1533-position model. The record is from RNAcentral.